Aquila chrysaetos chrysaetos is the source of this 331-nucleotide long non-coding RNA. RefSeq lists it as uncharacterized. The transcript is spliced from 2 exons. The record is from RefSeq and is a predicted model, not a curated record. Lineage: Eukaryota; Metazoa; Chordata; Aves; Accipitriformes; Accipitridae.
AAAACCAGUGCCUAACUAAGGGAGAGAGAGACAGAGUGUGCUGGUGUUUGUCUGGUUCUUCUCUUCAGGCAGAAAUAAGAAGGAAAGGAAUGAAAGUUGUUUGAGCUCUCGUUGGCCACACAGGCGAAGACUUGAAGGGAGUUGUUGCAGAAUGGCAGACAGACAGCACAUGCAAUCACUAAUUUAGCAAAAGUAAGAAGCACAUUAACAAGAGCAUGAACUUCUGAAGCUCUUCUGUUCUUUCCCUGGGGCAGAUAUCAUGGAAAUUGUACUGGAAUAUGAAAAUUCUCCACUCUCUUUUUAAUGGGAAAAUUAAAUUGUUUUAAAUCAA